Long non-coding RNA from Gallus gallus (chicken), 4644 nucleotides. RefSeq lists it as uncharacterized. The transcript has 4 exons. NCBI's taxonomy places the organism in Eukaryota, Metazoa, Chordata, Aves, Galliformes, Phasianidae. The record is from RefSeq and is a predicted model, not a curated record.
AAUUGUCAAUGGUAGGUAAUUUAGCUCUCCUGUUUUUGAAUGGCAUAGCCAAUAAAGCAUACUUAAAGAAAGCAAUUAAAUAUAGCACCUUACUAACCCCAAAGUUUAAAAAAACCAAACAGUUUCAAUGGAAUUUUUUUUAACCAGCUCCAGUGCACAGCUGUGUUACUGCUGCAGAAGCACAGAGCCUACUGAGACUGUGCUGAAAGGGCUGUUCUGAUUCUGCCACUGAGAGACAAAAUUGCCACUUAGACUCCAGCUGCAAAUGAACGAGACAAAAAGAGAAUGAAAUUGCUUCUAAUUUUGGACAGCAUGGUUUGUUUAUAUCCUAUAUGCCAAGCAGCUAUUUUAUUACUGUAAUUGCAACAGCUCCUAGAGCUCUCAUCUGCAAUACGUAAGGACCAUAUAAGCAGAAGAAAAAAGACAGCUCUGACCUAAAGAUCUCCUCUUCAUAAGAACCUCCAUUUAGAAGUCUGUUAGCUGCUGAUGAUUAUUCCCCACUUAAAAGCAAUCCUCCCUGGAGAAUGAUGGAAAAUAAACCAAUGUGAUAGUCCAGAAUGUUGGGUUUCAGUAUUCUCCAUGAAACAUUAGGAGCCUUUUCAAACAAGCAAUAUUAAUCACUACCCUAUCGUGAAAAAUCAGCUCAGACCUCAAUCCAGGCCAAAGAUGUAGGAAGGGUCCUCCAGAGAAUUGGCCGGAUGCUGCCUUGUUUUUAUCUCUCCCCAUUGCUGCUGACCAGUGUGCCCAGUAUCACCAGUGUGUGCUGCACCAGCAGCUCACAUUCCCUGACCUCGGUGAGUUCACGUUGAUUCUGUUUUGAGCUGAGAGAGACAGACAGAGAGGGAAACACACAUGCUAGUACUGAGUCUCUUGUCUGCUGACCUAAUAAAGGAACUAACAUUAAGAAAUGAGAAAAUCCAGCUGGUCUGAUUUCUUGCUAGACAAUCUACCAGCCGUGAAAAAAAUGCUCAAGUCUCAGGAGAUGUGCAGAGCCUGACAGUGUACCACAGACUGAUUACUUUCUGGACUCCACUGCUCUGCACUUUGACUGCAAGUGACUGAAUAAGUCAUUUGGUGGGAGAGAUGGCGAAGGCCAAGUAGAAGACAGUGGUUCGAAAAAGAAACCUGUUCCAAGCCAGAGAUUACUAUUUCCUGGAGUCUCAGCAUGACAGACCCACAACCUCAGGAGAAUUAACAUCACUGAGUGACUGCAUUCAAACACUACCAGGACGUGCAGCAAAUGCCUUGGCAUUUGGAAGUUAAGCAUUUAAGCAAACUUACCUCAAUUCAUACUGGAAGGCAACUACCUUUGUGCAGGCCUAGAGCAAUGCUGACUGCAAGGCUCAAUAUCUUAUCAGUAAAUAGCAGCAACACAGUGCUGGAUAAGAGCGCGCAUGGAGAUGAUGCCUUUGCUGGGAACACAGUGGGCAUACAGAAAGUAGAACAGACCCAGGAAGAAGGCAUUUUCAGCUUUCUUUUUAAUAGUGCCGAAGUUGUUCCUCUUACUAUAAAUUCCAAGAGGCCUCUGGUAGGCUGGUACUACAGCGAGAAGUGGAAAGAGAGGAAACUGAGAAAUUAACAUCAGGGAGUACACCAGGCUGCGUCCAAGAGGUGAGAAUUGUGAGACUGUCACUUGACUUGCAAACCCAAUGUUUCUAAAAAAUAAUUUGGAAGCACAGAUGUUUAACUCAGUGAAACAAAGGACUGCCAAAGGCUGAAAGAUCACCAAAAAGUUAGAAUAAAAGCUGCAAUUAUGUACAAAAAGUGCAUUUUUCAUUUUCACUCUGCAACAAAUUUCAAUAGCCAAGAUGAUAAUUUCACGAGAACAUGCAGCAUGGCCAAAGGAGUCCCCACACUAGGUUUCAACCAAAUUACUGCUAACAAUACCUUGUACUUGUGCAUAGGCUUUCUAAAUCUUUAAACUGAAUUCUUCUAAAGAAAAUAAGAUUUAAUGCAUUUUCACCAGUAUUACAGGAAAUAAAAUAUCAUUUUCUAUCUUUCCAGAAACAGAAAGCCUCUGUACUCUAUUCCAGGAUGUACACAGUGUAUAGACAUGUCACUGGAUGACUUUACACAACCAACCACUUCAUAGGCAUACAGCUGGCCCCUUCAAAGUGCUCUGCAGUCCAAACAAAAGCUUACUUUGGGGGAUCUCAUUAGACAGUGCAUCAGACAGUCCAUCUAACAAACACUUCAGGAGAAAGCCCUUGUAUUGAAUUACAAAUUACUGUCCUGUAAUGUAUGGUGCAGAGCUUCAGAGGUAAGCUCAAGCUGCCUUUAGAGCAUGAGGAGUUCAUCUGGCAGAACACCAUACUAACACUGAUAAAUUGUUUCUGAUAUUUGAGAGAACAGCUGGGUUCCUUUAUCAAUUUUUAUAAGGUAUUAUCUUGGUUAUUGCCACGGUAUUACCUGUGGCUUCAUUAGCUCCUCCAUGUUCAGUUCUUAUCUUUUUACUUCCAUGGCAGACAACUAAAAAGCCCAGCAGUGCAGAGAGAAGCUGUAGUUAGUGAGGACAUGACAAUCUUUCCACAGAAAACUAUGUUUGAUCUUGUUUCUUUCCAUGAUGUUUUCACAGCCACUGAUGACCCCAAGGCAACAUUAAGAGUGUAAAAAUGGAAUGUGAACAGUGAGGGGAGAUGGAAUCCCAAAUAAAUAUAUAUUUUAAAUUCCAAUUUUCUGAGUCUAUUAAGGUAGAGUAAUAUUGAUGUAGCCAUAGCAACUUAAGGUAAUAGAUUUAUCAAACUUGCUUUGCUACUUCAAUUUAAAAUGCAUGAUGUGAACACUGGAUCAAUUGUUAUGUGACUCUAAGCAGCCACCCGAUCUUGCUAUGUAUUUUGAAUCCAUCUAGCUGUAAUAGGUACAUAAGUUCUUCUUAUCUGCAAUGAAUUCCUGUAAAUCAUACAAGUUUUUUUUUUGUAUGUUUCAGCUGAGACCAGAUAAGACAGCAGAUAACUCCAGACAGAGCGUUCCACACUUGUCUCAGCCUCCCUGCUAGAAAACUACAGGAUUUUAAAUAUAUAUUCUUGUAUUAUAGAAACAAAAUAAACAGCUGUAAAAAUAGCCAAGUCAUCAGGCUUUCAACCUCCAGCUCUAGUAUGAGCUGCCAACACCCUUACAGUUUUCAUUUCUAUGUGGUUUCUCAGAACUGGAAGCAGGCUACAUCUCAGGACGUAAUUUUACUAAGUUGUUUUCCUGAUACUGUCCCUGGAAAGACAAAUGGCAUCUACAAACAUUAAGGAUCAUUCCUACACUUCUUUUCCAAUGUGCACACAUUAUUAUUCACGUGAGGUGAUACCUACAACACUGUCAAUCAACUGAGUCUGGAUUUCUUUUUUUCCUGUGUCAAAGAUAACAGAUAAAUCAUCCAAAUGACUUUAAGCCUUUACAUCACAUUAACAGAGGAUUCACAUCAAAUUAAUAGAGGAUAACGUCUUCUCCCAGUUAAAGGUAGCACUCAGUAUGAUUUAAUUUGUAUUUUAAGGACUUCAUUCCUCACUCCUUCAUUCCUCUUAAGUUUGAGAUGGCAACAUUAACAUUUAUAUAAUCACAUAAAAUCAUAAUCACAUAAAAUCUGCAAAAACUGCAGCUUGGGUUGAAAAGUGAAAAAGGCGAAAGAAAUUUGAAGAAAAUGCUAUGCUACAGCAUCCACUUCAUAACAAACAAGACUAUAUGACACAUGAACAACUAAUACACUGUUUUACUAAUAUAUUUGUUGCUUUCACCAGGAGAAUGGCUACAGGUUGAUAAUUAUGCUAGCAGCACCUUGCAAGCAAGGACUGUUCCGUAGGUCACGUCAAAUCUGUCCUUCCAAUGCUAACAUUGCACUGAAGGUUCUGCAGAUUCAAACAGAGAAGCAGAGCUAGCACACGUGCACAUCCAGUGCGUGUGGAAUUUUUCCAGCAUAACUUAAUUGCCAGAAAGUAAUGCUAGUCAUUAACCAAUAAUGUAAUUCAAGGUAUCUCUGCUUUAUAUACACAUUUAAUCCAUCCCUCUCCAAUGAAAAGCACUGUGGCUUCACUAGUUGUCUUGGUGUCAGUGAAGCCAACUGAUUCCUACUUCUGGAAAAGAACAUCAUUGGAAAAUUCACUCUGCCCAAUGUGACAAAAGACAGAAUCCAUCUAUACCACAUAAUAGAAACAGCUAAGUGCUGCUUUUUCACCUCUUCUUGAGCUGUCUGCCCUAUCUUUGGCAUAAACUCUAAAGUUUGAAUGAUCUGAAAGUGUAAUGUAAUCAAACUUCUUCACACUUGGGUUAGAAGGAUAUAAAACAAAUAACUUGAGCAGUAUGGUAGAGUAUAAUCCCUGGGGAAUUCUAAGCAUGCUUCUCAAGUAGAACUUGUAAUGAGGUUGUGAGCCCUUGACUUUGAAAAGAAUGCUGAUUAAAAAGUAGAAAAAGUACUUCAGUAACUCAGUUGCCAAGUAAGAGUAUGAUUAAAGGUACUAUCAACUUGACAUUCACAAUAAAGCACUGAAUGUGGACUAAGUGGUAUCUUAGUGAAUGUGCUGAACAACUUCAUUUUCUUUCUUGUGAAACCAAUUUCAAAUUUAGUCCUUGCGUGAGCUCUCAGAAAAACUCUACACACUGGCAGAAAGUUUCUGUAAUUUAAAUACUGACAACUGUGAAAUUCAGAGCUAGUCUGCAAAA